AUGUUAUUAGAGUAUGGGUUACUGAAAUUAAAUUUUAUUGCACCCUCGUACAAUCUGGCAGGUAAUCUUACUCUUUCUCUUUUAGCAAGAACAGCAUUGGUUCCUUGUGUAGUGCUACAUGCUUGUCAACUUGUUUGUACUUGCUGCCAGAGAGAAUUAGUUUACUGCUUGCAAAACCUAACUUUUGCUGGAUCUUUAUCAGGAUUCUCACUAUUAGUUGGCUUGGAAGAAGGAUGCUACUGUAUCCGUAUGAAGGGCGCGCGGUGGGCGUGCUUUUUCAUUUCUUUUCAUUAUAAUCUUUUAGGAUUGGUAUAA
This 315-nucleotide ribosomal RNA is filed under the name Triticum aestivum (bread wheat). RNAcentral's name for it is "partial small subunit ribosomal RNA". The record is from RNAcentral. Lineage: Eukaryota; Viridiplantae; Streptophyta; Magnoliopsida; Poales; Poaceae.